Molecule: microRNA, 17 nt
Filed under: Corchorus olitorius
Lineage: Eukaryota; Viridiplantae; Streptophyta; Magnoliopsida; Malvales; Malvaceae
Description: hsa-miR-44
Source: RNAcentral
AAGAAUGGGAGGAGGGA